GGAAGUAAAAGUCGUAACAAAGUUUCCGUAGGUGAACCUGCGGAAGGAUCAUUAUUAUAUAACCGAGGUGCGAGGGCUGUCGCUGACCCGAAAGGUCGUGCACGCCCGAGUGCCCUCACACACAUCCAUCUCACCCCUAUGUGCACCACCGCGUGGGUCCCCCUUUGGCUUGUUCGGAGGGGGGCUUACGUUUUCACACAAACUUUGUAUGCAGUGUAGAAUGUAUUUUUUGUUUUUGCGAUCACGCAAUCAAUACAACUUUCAACAACGGAUCUCUUGGCUCUC
RNAcentral lists this unclassified non-coding RNA (285 nucleotides) under plant metagenome. Its description in RNAcentral is "partial contains small subunit ribosomal RNA, internal transcribed spacer 1, and 5.8S ribosomal RNA". The stretch from base 1 to 54 matches the Rfam family "Eukaryotic small subunit ribosomal RNA", at positions 1778 to 1831 of the family's 1831-position model. The record is from RNAcentral.